GAGUUUGAUCAUGGCUCAGAAUGAACGCUGGCGGCGUGCUUAACACAUGCAAGUCGAGCGAGGCCUGGGGGGCAACUCCCAGAGUCGAGCGGCGGACGGGUGAGUAACACGUGGGUAACCUGCCCGGAAGUGGGGAAUACCUCGGGGAAACUCGAGCUAAUACCGCAUGACAUCUUUGGGACGAAAGUCCUGACGAUCAAAGCGGGGUCGCAAGAUCUCGCGCUACCGGAUGGGCCCGCGCCCGAUUAGCUAGUUGGUGAGGUAACGGCUCACCAAGGCUUCGAUCGGUAACCGGCCUGAGAGGGCGAUCGGUCACACCGGAACUGAGACACGGUCCGGACUCCUACGGGAGGCAGCAGUGGGGAAUCUUGCGCAAUGGGCGAAAGCCUGACGCAGCAACGCCGCGUGGAGGAUGAAGGCCCUUGGGUUGUAAACUCCUGUCGGCUGGGAAGAAAUCGUUCGGGGCUCAUACCCUCGGACGUUGACUGUACCAGCAAAGGAAGCCCGGCUAACUCUGUGCCAGCCGCCGCGGUAAG
RNAcentral lists this ribosomal RNA (536 nucleotides) under uncultured bacterium. RNAcentral describes it as "bacterial SSU rRNA". It matches the Rfam family "Bacterial small subunit ribosomal RNA", at positions 9 to 524 of the family's 1533-position model. The record is from RNAcentral.